GUGGGGAAUCUUCCGCAAUGGACGAAAGUCUGACGGAGCAACGCCGCGUGAGUGAUGAAGGUCUUCGGAUUGUAAAGCUCUGUUAAUCGGGACGAAAGAGCCUAGUGUGAAUAAUGCUAGGAAGUGACGGUACCGGAAUAGAAAGCCACGGCUAACUACGUGCCAGCAGCCGCGGUAAUACGUAGGUGGCAAGCGUUGUCCGGAAUUAUUGGGCGUAAAGCGCGCGCAGGCGGAUCAGCCAGUCUGUCUUAAAAGUUCGGGGCUUAACCCCGUGAUGGGAUGGAAACUACAGAUCUAGAGUAUCGGAGAGGAAAGUGGAAUUCCUAGUGUAGCGGUGAAAUGCGUAGAUAUUAGGAAGAACACCAGUGGCGAAGGCGACUUUCUGGACGAAAACUGACGCUGAGGCGCGAAAGCCAGGGGAGCGAACGGGAUUAGAAACCCUUGUAGUCC
This 450-nucleotide ribosomal RNA is filed under the name uncultured bacterium. RNAcentral's name for it is "partial 16S ribosomal RNA". It matches the Rfam family "Bacterial small subunit ribosomal RNA", at positions 354 to 796 of the family's 1533-position model. The record is from RNAcentral.